RNAcentral lists this small RNA (136 nucleotides) under Vibrio cholerae O1 biovar El Tor str. N16961. Lineage: Bacteria; Pseudomonadati; Pseudomonadota; Gammaproteobacteria; Vibrionales; Vibrionaceae. The record is from RNAcentral.
UCUGAAGCAGCCAAAGCCAUGACCAUCACCCCGACAUCGGGUUAUGAUGCUCCACCUUGGCUUGCCCGUUAUCUCAAUCGCAAGUAAAUCUUUCUCUGCGGUGUGAAUGAGAUUGUCAUUCGCACCGCUGCUGAAA